GACAGAGGGUGCAAACGUUGCUCGGAAUCACUGGGCGUAAAGGGCGUGUAGGCGGGAAGGCAAGUCAGAUGUGAAAUCCCUGGGCUCAACCCAGGAAUUGCAUUUGAAACUCCCUUUCUUGAGUACCGGAGAGGAAAGUGGAAUUCCUGGUGUAGAGGUGAAAUUCGUAGAUAUCAGGAGGAACACCAGUGGCGAAGGCGGCUUUCUGGACGGUAACUGACGCUGAGACGCGAAAGCGUGGGGAGCAAACAGG
Molecule: ribosomal RNA, 253 nt
Filed under: uncultured bacterium
Lineage: Bacteria
Description: partial 16S ribosomal RNA
Rfam family: Bacterial small subunit ribosomal RNA
Source: RNAcentral